UCCGUAGGUGAACCUGCGGAGGGAUCAUUACCGAGUUAUACAACUCAUCAACCCUGUGAACAUACCUAAAACGUUGCUUCGGCGGGAACAGACGGCCCUGUAACAACGGGCCGCCCCCGCCAGAGGACCCCUAACUCUGUUUUUAUAAUGUUUUUCUGAGUAAACAAGCAAAUAAAUUAAAACUUUCAACAACGGAUCUCUUGGCUCUGGCAUCGAUGAAGAACGCAGCGAAAUGCGAUAAGUAAUGUGAAUUGCAGAAUUCAGUGAAUCAUCGAAUCUUUGAACGCACAUUGCGCCCGCCAGUAUUCUGGCGGGCAUGCCUGUUCGAGCGUCAUUACAACCCUCAGGCCCCCGGGCCUGGCGUUGGGGAUCGGCGGAAGCCCCCUGUGGGCACACGCCGUCCCUCAAAUACAGUGGCGGUCCCGCCGCAGCUUCCAUUGCGUAGUAGCUAACACCUCGCAACUGGAGAGCGGCGCGGCCAUGCCGUAAAACACCCAACUUCUGAAUGUUGACCUCGAAUCAGGUAGGAAUACCCGCUGAACUUAAGCAUAUCAAUAAGUCGGAGGAA
RNAcentral lists this ribosomal RNA (568 nucleotides) under Fusarium sp. 1 DoF3. RNAcentral's name for it is "eukaryotic LSU rRNA". The stretch from base 181 to 334 matches the Rfam family "5.8S ribosomal RNA". Lineage: Eukaryota; Fungi; Ascomycota; Sordariomycetes; Hypocreales; Nectriaceae. The record is from RNAcentral.